This 253-nucleotide ribosomal RNA is filed under the name uncultured bacterium. Its description in RNAcentral is "partial 16S ribosomal RNA". It matches the Rfam family "Bacterial small subunit ribosomal RNA", at positions 524 to 776 of the family's 1533-position model. The record is from RNAcentral.
UACGAAGGGAGCUAGCGUUGUUCGGAAUCAUUGGGCGUAAAGCGCACGUAGGCGGUUUGUUAUGUCGGAUGUGAAAGCCCUUGGCUCAACUGAGGAAGUGCAUCCGAAACUGGCAAGCUAGAGUAUGUAAGAGGGUCGCGGAAUUCCCGGUGUAGAGGUGAAAUUCGUAGAUAUCGGGAGGAACACCGGUGGCGAAGGCGGCGACCUGGGACAAUACUGACGCUGAGGUGCGAAAGCGUGGGGAGCAAACAGG